Molecule: ribosomal RNA, 1035 nt
Filed under: bacterium enrichment culture clone aHCH7_E10
Lineage: Bacteria
Description: bacterial SSU rRNA
Rfam family: Bacterial small subunit ribosomal RNA
Source: RNAcentral
GCCUACACAUGCAGUCGAGGGGCAUCACAUGAAGCAGCAAUGCGGAUGGUGGCGACCGGCGCACGGGUGAGUAACACGUAUGCAACCUGCCUACAACAGGGGGAUAACCCGUUGAAAGACGGACUAAUACCCCAUAAUACAGGGGUCCCGCAUGGGAAUAUUUGUUAAAGAUUAAUCGGUUGUAGAUGGGCAUGCGUUCCAUUAGCUAGUUGGUGAGGUAACGGCCCACCAAGGCAACGAUGGAUAGGGGAACUGAGAGGUUUAUCCCCCACACUGGUACUGAGACACGGACCAGACUCCUACGGGAGGCAGCAGUGAGGAAUAUUGGUCAAUGGACGCAAGUCUGAACCAGCCACGUCGCGUGAAGGAAGACGGCCCUACGGGUUGUAAACUUCUUUUGUAAGGGAAUAAAGUGUAGUACGUGUACUAUUUUGCAUGUACCUUACGAAUAAGGAUCGGCUAACUCCGUGCCAGCAGCCGCGGUAAUACGGAGGAUCCGAGCGUUAUCCGGAUUUAUUGGGUUUAAAGGGUGCGCAGGCGGGAGAUUAAGUCGGCGGUGAAAUUUUGCAGCUCAACUGUAAAAGUGCCUUCGAAACUGGUUUCCUUGAGUGUAGAUGAAGUAGGCGGAAUUUGUGGUGUAGCGGUGAAAUGCAUAGAUAUCACGAGGAACUCCGAUUGCGCAGGCAGCUUACUAAACUACUACUGACGCUCAGGCACGAAGGCGUGGGGAUCAAACAGGAUUAGAUACCCUGGUAGUCCACGCAGUAAACGAUGAUUACUGGCUGUUUGCGAUAUACAGUAAGCGGCUGAGCGAAAGCGUUAAGUAAUCCACCUGGGGAGUACGUUCGCAAGAAUGAAACUCAAAGGAAUUGACGGGGGCCCGCACAAGCGGAGGAACAUGUGGUUUAAUUCGAUGAUACGCGAGGAACCUUACCCGGGCUUGAAAUGCAUCUGACAGGGGCAGAGACGCCCUCUUCCUUCGGGACAGAUGUGUAGUGGUGCAUGGUUGUCGUCAGCUCGUGUCGUGAGAAUGUU